ACGGUGGGCAGGUGUGAUGCUCAGCCAGGAGGGAGCCUGUUGUGCAGGCAAAACACAGCCUUUGAGACGCUGACAUCGUGACAAGAGUGAGGAUUCAUGUCUGGAUCAUCAAAAAUGAUCACUCAUUGAAAAGCAAGUCUGGAAUCGACCGAGGGCUCUUAAUAGCUUCUCAUAGGUGUACCCACAGUAAGGGGGACUCGGGGCAGCUGUGUGGGUAUGUGGGGUGAAGCGGGCAGUGGGAG
Molecule: long non-coding RNA, 242 nt
Filed under: Bos taurus (domestic cattle)
Lineage: Eukaryota; Metazoa; Chordata; Mammalia; Artiodactyla; Bovidae
Description: long non-coding RNA NONBTAT006049
Source: RNAcentral